AACCUAGCACACCUGCGGUGUGUACCUGCGGAGGGAUCAUUACCGAGUUUACAACUCCCAAACCCCUGUGAGCAUACCUAUACGUUGCCUCGGCGGAUCAGCCCGCGCCCUGUAAAAAGGGACGGCCCGCCCGAGGACCCUAAACUCUGUUUUUAGUGGAACUUCUGAGUAAAACAAACAAAUAAAUCAAAACUUUUAACAAUGGAUCU
RNAcentral lists this unclassified non-coding RNA (209 nucleotides) under soil metagenome. RNAcentral's name for it is "partial contains 5.8S ribosomal RNA, internal transcribed spacer 2, and large subunit ribosomal RNA". The record is from RNAcentral.